Molecule: transfer RNA, 75 nt
Filed under: Actinomycetes bacterium
Lineage: Bacteria; Bacillati; Actinomycetota; Actinomycetes
Description: tRNA-Asn
Rfam family: tRNA
About the family: Transfer RNA (tRNA) molecules are approximately 80 nucleotides in length. Their secondary structure includes four short double-helical elements and three loops (D, anti-codon, and T loops).
Source: RNAcentral
UUCCGGGGUAGCUCAACUGGCGGAGCGCUUGGCCGUUAACCAAGAGGUUGAGGGUUCGAGUCCCUCCCCCGGAGU